UUAAAUUGAAGAGUUUGAUCAUGGCUCAGAUUGAACGCUGGCGGCAGGCCUAACACAUGCAAGUCGAACGGUAACAGGAGGCAGCUUGCUGCUUUG
This 96-nucleotide ribosomal RNA is filed under the name Salmonella enterica. Its description in RNAcentral is "partial 16S ribosomal RNA". It matches the Rfam family "Bacterial small subunit ribosomal RNA", at positions 1 to 90 of the family's 1533-position model. Lineage: Bacteria; Pseudomonadati; Pseudomonadota; Gammaproteobacteria; Enterobacterales; Enterobacteriaceae. The record is from RNAcentral. RNAcentral also lists the same sequence under 1 other name.